This 3360-nucleotide long non-coding RNA is filed under the name Homo sapiens (human). RNAcentral's name for it is "PREDICTED lncRNA (TCONS_00257626)". Lineage: Eukaryota; Metazoa; Chordata; Mammalia; Primates; Hominidae. The record is from RNAcentral.
AGACAUUAAUCUUAAGUAUCCAGGGAGCCCUAAAACAUUGUAUCCCACUAGCAAGGACCAUGGUAAUUGCCACGUAAAUCCCCUCCAUUAUGUGGCCCUUAUUAUGACCAGCCAGCCAAGGCUUGCCUUUAAAUCAUACCAAUUGAACCGAGCCUUGUAGAAACACUAUCACCUACGCAUACCUCUGCUUCUUUUCAUUAACCUGCUAUCCUCUUUACAAAUGGGAUUCUUCACCCACUCCCUUCUUCUAGAUUAGCAAUGCCCUGUUAAGUAAACGAACACGAAAUUCAAAGGGAAACAGGAGCAAUCAUCAUUACCAGCUGCCGUGUUAAGCAUUGCGAAAACGCUCACGAUUCACAGAAAAAUCCAUGCUGUUCUUUGAAGGCAUUCAAGCCUUAAUAGCUAGCUGGAUGAAUGUUUAACUUCUAGGCCAGGCACUACUCUGUCCCAACAAUAAGCCCUGUACAUUGGGAAAGGUGCCGAGACAUGAACUUUGGUCUUCUCUGCAAUCCAUCUGGAGCAUUCACUGACAACAUCGACUUUGAAGUUGCACUGACCUGGCCAGCCCUGCCACUUACCAGGUUGGGCUGUGGCUUGCCUUUUCACUUCUUGUGUCCUGUUUAAGAAAUAUCUGCUAUCCCAAGCAUCUGGCAUCUUUCUUGACAUAUGUAGCAGUUGCUUUUUGACAGCUUGCUUCUUCAGUGAAUGAAUAAAUUAAUAAAGAGAAAUGUGAUGUUCAGUGAUCCAUUUUGCAGAUUGCAAACUCCUAGAGAAGGGCUCAACAGUGAGUGCUGAGGCUGCACAGAGGAGGAAGGCAGCACAAUGAUGGAAGGCUUCCUAAAGAGAUAACACUAACAAAGUUGACCUUAGAAUUGGAGUGCCUGGGUUAGAACCCUGCUGGUACCACCUGCUUACUGCAUGCUUCUGAUGUGAGUUCAGGAGAAGACACUGGCAAGGACAGCAAAGAACAGGAGAACACUCUAGCUUCCCUGAUAGCAUUCAAGGUGCUGUCCAAACUGACUGUGAUGGCACCCUCCAGACAGACAGCGAUGCCACAUGUUCAAGAUGGCAGAAUCACUAUCAGCUUCAAUUCCUGAAUGACUGCAGAGCAAAAUUUCUUACCUGCAACAUACACUCUAUUUUCAGCCUCCCUGGACUGUUACAUAAUGAUACAUAAAAAUAUUUCUUGUGUUGAGGCAUCCCAAAUUUGAUUUAUUUGUCAUCACAGUCUAUCCUAUGAAUAUAUUUCUGAUCCAAAUAAUGCUAGAUUCAUGAGAGUUUAUAGUCCAGAGAUUUUUUUUUUUUUUUUGAGACAGAAUCUGUCUCCCAGGCUGGGGUGCAGUGGCAUAAUCUUAGCUCACUGCAACCUCUGCCUCCCGGGCUCAAGUGAUCCUCCCUCCUUAGCCUCCAUGAGUAGCUGGGACCACAGGUGUGCACCACCACACCCCGCUAAUUAUUUUGUAUUUUUUGCAGAGGGGGGUUUCACCACAUUGCCCAAGCUGGUCUCAAACUCCUAGACUUAAGGGAUCUGCCUGCCUUGGCCUCCCAAAAUGCUGAAAUUACACUUGUUAGCCAUAGUAAUAGUUCCUAGCCAUAGUCCGGAGAUAUUUUAAAAACUUUAGUGUGAGUUAUUUCUCUUUGCUAUAAUUCUCUCAUGCAUUUUGAAAACCUUUUCUGCCAUACAGUGGUUUUUGGGAAGUCCUUUUGGACAGACAUAUCACAGGAUGGAGAAACUAAAAAGAGAGAAUGCAUUAAAGAAAAAAUAGUACUUCGUAUUUCAGAAAUUACAAAAGGGUGUCAUGCCCCACAGCAUGGUGGGCAGUCAUUUGUAACCCACAGAACAUUGAGUUUCUAAAAUUUGAGUGUUUUUAACUUACGAAGGCCAACUUUACUGAUGAAGUGAUUACCCCAAAUAUGUGAAAUCCAUAUUUCAAGUACAAUAGUAGGAAAUUGGAAAUGGGCUCUUGAGUUUCUGCUUUCAAGUGACCCUCAGAAAUUCCUCCAUUCACUGCAGAGGUUCUGUUUCUCCUUGCUUUGUUCUGACUUUACGGCAGAACUAAGCUAAUGAGUUAGUUACUAUGGGUUAUCACUUGGAUUUGAAGAACCAUCAUUUCUAGGCAUUGCUGCUCAGAGUGACCUUGCCAUCGUAUCCCCUUUUGGAGACACAAGCCAGGAAGGAAGCUCUUCAGUGCAGCUGUGAAUAGAGAAAUGCUGGCUGAGGUUUUGGAGACACUGGGUGAUCAUUCCCAGUGAAAUUUUUAGAUCCCUGGGGACAUGAGCUGCUUUGUCUUUUCCAAGGCUGAAAAAGUUUUGGAAGCCCUCCUAAGCAGGUGCCAGACCCUUUUUUGGCCAGAGACAGGAUCUUACGCUGUUGCCCAGGCUGGAGUGCAAUAGUGUCAUCAUGGCUCACUGUAGCCUGGAACUGCUGGGCUCAAGGGAUCCUCCCAGCUCAGCCUCCCAAGUAGCUAGGAGUAAAGUCUGGAGAACACUUUUUCUUUUGAGCUGUUUACAACCUUUAGCAAUUGAGUAGAGUGUACUCUUGUCAAUAGAAUUUGAAGCACAUUUCUCUCUCUGCCUGAUUUCUGUAGAAUUUGUAAACUAUUUGUGAAUAUUCUUAAUUUAUGGCAAUAUGGUUGCUUACAUAAGUUCAAUAAUAAUCUGUUUUCUUUUACAAUGAGACACAGUUGGAGGAACUGGUUAUUUUCCCAGGGCUUUGACUGAAAUGGCCUUGUGAAUGGUUCCAGGAAAGCCAAUUUUGGAGACCCUAUGUGGAUGAUGAUGCUUGCUGUACUUUCUGUGGGUAAUCGGGCCAAGUAUAUGGGACUGAAGCUAAUUUUGCAGGUGAGAAAAUGGAGGUCCAGAGAGAAAAGUGACUCACCCAAGCUGAAAACAGUUGCAGGAAGAAAAGCCAGGACAGAACUGGGCUGUUAGAAACCUUGGAGUACACUAAAGAUGAGGAACUGAGUCACCGCAAUGCCAAAUGUAACACGCUGUGGGUCAAAAUUUGGAUGGUUGCGUUGGAAAUUAUUCUGAAGCCACAGACAGGGCUAAAAGAGUCUAGAAUGUCCUACUAGCUGUUGGAACCUGCUGGAGUUCUAAAGGCAUGCGAUGUCCUGAAUGUGCUUGACCAAUGGACACAGCAGGUAUUUGAAGAGUUUUGAUGCUUCCUUUCUGUUUUCAGUGCUAUUUUUUUGCUUUAUUUCUUUUAAAAAACUUUCCCCACAGAGGCUAUUUAUUACACAGCAGCAGCCAGCAUGCACCAAGCAGAACUGCUUUUCAUAAUAAACCUAUUUAUCUUCUGGCAUGUCAGAAAUUUCUCAAAUUGAUACUUAUAAUAAAUAUGAUUAAUAACACAUUGUA